UCUCGGCUGCCUUCACAAAACGUCAGAGUUCAAGCCGUACUCGUGUUACCGUACGUGUCAUUGCUUUUAUUCAUUACUGUGUGGGCAGAAACCACCACGUUUACAUCGCAUUAGUCAGAAGAGCUAAAGAAGUGAUGCUGUGCUGGGAUGCAAUGUUCGUUUAGGCAGCUAAUGCUCGGGGCACAUGCCUCCAGCCCCAUGGCUUUAAGCAGGAGCUGAAAGGCCUUGGUGAGCUCCACAGCUGCUGUGCUUUUGGCCAAAUCACGCUUCUUUUCAGGGCCUUUAAAGGUGUGGUUUGGGGGCUUUGAACCUUGCUCUAGCAAGGUGUGGGUGUAGAGGAGAGUAUGGGAGGGUGAAUGUGCUCCCAAGUGAGGUCCAAGACAAAUACUAGAGCUUCACCUCCACCUUUGCAGGGACGUGGAAGAUCAGGUAGCCUGCCUGCUGGAGGGACUCAUUCAGAGACUUGUUGAUCAGGCCUGCUGUGGAUUGCUGUGCUGCAUGGAUGUUAUCUUUCUUAUUCCCUACCUUGCAAAAUGGCCUCAAGAUGGUUUUGAAAUGAACACAAGUGACUCUCCUGAAAAUGUUAUCGUAUUGUGGUUACUAACAGCUGCAGAAGAACACCUCGCUUCUUCCUUUUGUUAUUAAACAUUUGUUCAUGCAUCGGUAUCUUGCUGUCAAACCCUCAGUUUGGUACUGUGGGGGAAAAUGGCCAUCCUGUAAAGCACUUGGCCAGCAGGAUCGUACCCAGACAGGUACAUGCAAAGUGGCCUCCUGACCCCUCUUUUGGACAACCAGCACGAGCAGCACUGCAGGAAAGCAUCCACAUUCUGCAGCACUUCAUACCCCAGUGAUACUGAGCUCUACCCAUUCCUUUUUAGUGAAAAAUCUUCAGGAAUCAGUGGCAGGCAGUGAUGAAAGGCUAAGAACAAACCACGAGAAACCUUGGGGUUAGCCGAGGAACACUCGGUGUGUGUCAGCUGCCACCUAACCUGGUGCCAACGCCAGAAAAGGGGACUUCAAACGCUACGAGGAUGAGUCAGGGCAGCCGGAGCUGCCGUGCCACACACUGAGGCUGAGAGCUGUAACAAACCCGUGUGUCCUCUGUGGGUUAGGUACAAAGCGGAUGGGCCGGCAGGUUAUGAUGCAUGCAUGCAUCAAAGGUAAUAAAUAUUGGAACAAAUCCCCAGCCACCCAGGACCUUUGGACUUGUCGAU
This is a long non-coding RNA of Cygnus olor (mute swan), 1214 nucleotides long. RefSeq lists it as uncharacterized. The transcript has 4 exons. The record is from RefSeq and is a predicted model, not a curated record. Lineage: Eukaryota; Metazoa; Chordata; Aves; Anseriformes; Anatidae.